UGAUCUCAUCGUGUUCCAACUCGGUUACACCCCAUAUGUCCUCAAGACUUUCCGCACUUUCUGUCCUCUGAAUAAGACGCUUCCGAUCAAUCUCUGUCGGAGAUUAUCCAAGUCAUAUCUCGAGCACAAACGAUCAUGCUGGACGCAGUUGUUCGUUUCAAUCCCUCUUUUGCCUGGACUGCCCUUUCGGGUUUUCAGUCCACCGGGAUACCCUUUUUU
This 219-nucleotide long non-coding RNA is filed under the name Lathyrus oleraceus (garden pea). RNAcentral's name for it is "Pisum sativum (pea) long non-coding RNA (PSAT_LNC027889)". Lineage: Eukaryota; Viridiplantae; Streptophyta; Magnoliopsida; Fabales; Fabaceae. The record is from RNAcentral.